This 313-nucleotide long non-coding RNA is filed under the name Linum usitatissimum (flax). RNAcentral's name for it is "long non-coding RNA (LUSI_LNC001020)". The record is from RNAcentral. Lineage: Eukaryota; Viridiplantae; Streptophyta; Magnoliopsida; Malpighiales; Linaceae.
AAGAUUCUUCGUCUCCGUGUUUAACUCUUGAAUUGCUGCUGGACAGGCUUCGAUGAACUUGUCCACUAUGUAUGUAAUCCCCAUCUUUGCUGCAUCUAAAAUGGCUUCCUCCUUUCUUUCUGUUCAUUUACCAAGCAGGAGCAGCCUAACUGUUCAUGAACUAGUAAAGAAACUAUAAUAUAUAAUAUGAAUUGAAAAGUUUGGUCAUCACCUCCCAAGUGUGGCACAAACUUAUUAUUGACUAGAGAGCUCUGAGAUGUCUGGUCAUCGAAUCCAGGAGGUUUUCGGCCGCUGUCUUGGUACUUGUAAAGUG